Molecule: ribosomal RNA, 384 nt
Filed under: Chilo partellus
Lineage: Eukaryota; Metazoa; Arthropoda; Insecta; Lepidoptera; Crambidae
Description: partial 16S ribosomal RNA
Source: RNAcentral
ANAUCCUUAUUGGGRCUGUAUGAAGAUUGGAUGAAAUAUAUACUGUCUCUUUAAUAAUAAUAGAAUUUAAUUUUUUAAUUAAAAAGUUAAAAUAAAUUUAAAAGACGAGAAGACCCCAUAGAGUUUUAUAUAUUURUUAAUUAAUAUUAUUUAUAAAUUAAUAAAAAUUAAAAUUAAUUUAAUAUAUUAUAUUGGGGUGAUAAAAAAAUUUAUUUAACUUUUUUUUUUUUAAUUAAAUUAACAUAAAUAAGKGARUAUAAUGAUCCAAAAUUUUUGAUUAUAAGAUAAAAUUNCCUUGGGGAUAACAGCGUAAUUUUUUUUUUUAGUUCAAAUAAAAAAAAAAGUUUGCGACCUCGAUGUUGGAUUAAGAUAAAAUUUAAAUGC